GGAUUAGUGGCGAACGGGUGAGUAACACGUGGGCAAUCUGCCCUUCACUCUGGGACAAGCCCUGGAAACGGGGUCUAAUACCGGAUAACACUCCUGCAGGCAUCUGUGGGGGUUAAAAGCUCCGGCGGUGAAGGAUGAGCCCGCGGCCUAUCAGCUUGUUGGUGAGGUAGUGGCUCACCAAGGCGACGACGGGUAGCCGGCCUGAGAGGGCGACCGGCCACACUGGGACUGAGACACGGCCCAGACUCCUACGGGAGGCAGCAGUGGGGAAUAUUGCACAAUGGGCGAAAGCCUGAUGCAGCGACGCCGCGUGAGGGAUGACGGCCUUCGGGUUGUAAACCUCUUUCAGCAGGGAAGAAGCGAAAGUGACGGUACCUGCAGAAGAAGCGCCGGCUAACUACGUGCCAGCAGCCGCGGUAAUACGUAGGGCGCAAGCGUUGUCCGGAAUUAUUGGGCGUAAAGAGCUCGUAGGCGGUCUGUCGCGUCGGAUGUGAAAGCCCGGGGCUUAACCCCGGGUCUGCAUUCGAUACGGGCAGACUAGAGUGUGGUAGGGGAGAUCGGAAUUCCUGGUGUAGCGGUGAAAUGCGCAGAUAUCAGGAGGAACACCGGUGGCGAAGGCGGAUCUCUGGGCCAUUACUGACGCUGAGGAGCGAAAGCGUGGGGAGCGAACAGGAUUAGAUACCCUGGUAGUCCACGCCGUAAACGGUGGGAACUAGGUGUUGGCGACAUUCCACGUCGUCGGUGCCGCAGCUAACGCAUUAAGUUCCCCGCCUGGGGAGUACGGCCGCAAGGCUAAACUCAAAGGAAUUG
This 810-nucleotide ribosomal RNA is filed under the name uncultured Streptomyces sp. RNAcentral's name for it is "bacterial SSU rRNA". It matches the Rfam family "Bacterial small subunit ribosomal RNA", at positions 89 to 912 of the family's 1533-position model. The record is from RNAcentral. Lineage: Bacteria; Bacillati; Actinomycetota; Actinomycetes; Kitasatosporales; Streptomycetaceae.